RNAcentral lists this ribosomal RNA (468 nucleotides) under uncultured bacterium. RNAcentral describes it as "partial 16S ribosomal RNA". It matches the Rfam family "Bacterial small subunit ribosomal RNA", at positions 28 to 507 of the family's 1533-position model. The record is from RNAcentral.
GACGAACGCUGGCGGCGUGCUUAACACAUGCAAGUCGAACGGAAAUGCCCUGCUGUGUGGUUGUACUCGAUUGGCGAACGGGUGAGUAACACGUGAGUAAACUGCCCGUUACCCUGGGAUAACGUCAGGAAACUCGGGCUAAUACCGGAUAUGAUAUCGUGCUACAUGGUGUGGGGUGGAAAGUUUGGGCGGUUGGGGAUGGAGUGUCUGGUUAUCAGCUUGUCGGUGGGGGAGUGGCUUACCAAGGCUUGGACGGGUAGCCGACCUGAGAGGGUGACCGGCCCCAUUGGGACUGAGGUACGGACCAGAAUGCUACGGGCGGCAGCAGUGGGGAGUCUUACACAAUGGGCGGGAGCGUGAUGCAGAGGUGCCGCGUGCGGGAUGCCGGCCUUCGGGUUGUGAACCACUUUCGCAGGUAACGAAGCGUGAGUGACGGUAAUGAGUAAAGAAGCAACGGCUAACUACGUG